RNAcentral lists this ribosomal RNA (253 nucleotides) under uncultured bacterium. Its description in RNAcentral is "partial 16S ribosomal RNA". It matches the Rfam family "Bacterial small subunit ribosomal RNA", at positions 524 to 776 of the family's 1533-position model. The record is from RNAcentral.
UACAGAGGGUGCGAGCGUUAAUCGGAGUUACUGGGCGUAAAGGGCGCGUAGGCGGUUAAUUGAGUGAGUUGUGAAAUCCCAGGGCUUAACCCUGGAACUGCUCUUUAGACUGCCUGUCUGGAAUUCGGAAGAGGUUGGUGGAACUCCCAGUGUAGAGGUGAAAUUCGCAGAUAUUGGGAAGAACACCGGUGGCGAAGGCGACCAACUGGUCCGACAUUGACACUGAGGCACGAAAGCGUGGGUAGCAAACAGG